Long non-coding RNA from Chenopodium quinoa (quinoa), 1404 nucleotides. RefSeq lists it as uncharacterized. Lineage: Eukaryota; Viridiplantae; Streptophyta; Magnoliopsida; Caryophyllales; Amaranthaceae. The record is from RefSeq and is a predicted model, not a curated record. The transcript is spliced from 3 exons.
UAAUUAAGGAGGUGAAAUUCAUUUAAAUUAUAAGCUAAUAGCUAGCCAUUGGAGUUCAAAGUAGCUACAAUAACAAUUAGCUUAAAAGUUUAUGUGGCAUGCCAAGCUUAUUGUCAAAUUAGCUUGCCGUUGGAGUUGCUCUUAGUGAAUGACAGGAUAAUACAGGUUAUUAGCACACCUCAUCAACGCUUCUUCAUUUUUCAGGCACCGAGUUCUUGAGUCUAACCCUAGAGUCACUGCUCACAACUGAAAAACCCCCCAAUUCUCUAUCUUCCUCUCUCAUCUGCUCACUUUCUCCAUCAAUCUGCCUCUGCAACCGUCACCAUCGCUCAUAUCGCCGGAUUCCUUGUACACCGACGCCGCGCAAAUUCCUCUAUAUAUUGUCCUUCCAGCAAAAUGAUGUUGAUUGUGGACAAGAUGUGAUGCAAUUCAGGAAAAAAAUCAAUUCACAUAAGCCCCUUAAACUUCUUGAACUUGUAACUUUGCCUUCUAGUGUAUUCUCUUGAUAAUUAUUAUCAAGGUACUUAUCUGGUUUUCAUUCUACCAGACCUGUUGCUACUGCCUUAGUCGCUAUUAUUAACGUUGAAAUUAUUGAUGAUGAUGAUGUUGUAGAUGCUGCUGCUGUUAAAUAUUCCUAUUAAUGCUAAUAUCAACUUUGUACAAUUGAAAUACUUUCUUUUGGGAAAAAAUUGUAAUAUUUAUUACAAUAAUUAUUAUUGAAAAUAUUCAACUUUUUUUUUCAAGGUUUAAAUAUAUGUAUGUGCAUCUGUUUCAAUUUAGAGGGAAAAAAACCCAUUUUUUUAAUGGGCAUAUUUGGCAAUGUUUCAUGUAAGAACUGGUGCACCAUGGGCACCAAGCAUUUAGGUACCGGUGUCUUUGUGGUUUUUAUACUAGAAAUAAUCUAUUGCAAAAAUUUAGUAACUAAAAUAUGUAUUAGCAACUGAUUGGUUAGUAGCACAUAAUUGAUCUUAGUAGUUGCUAAUCAGUCACAAAAUUAUUGGUCUCCGUAGUCGCUAAUCCGCCGAACAAUACUGGUCAACGUAGUCUUAAAAAUUUGGUCAAAGUAGUCACUAAUCUGUUGCUAAUAUUUUGUGAUGGAAAACAGAUCAGUUGCUAAAAUCUCAAAGUUAUCAUUAAAUGACAAUCGCAAAUUAGUCGCUAACAUUUUGCGACGGGCAAUAAUUUAGUUCCUAAAAUUUUAAAGUUAGUUGCUAAAUGACAGUUGCAAAGUUGUUGCUAAAUUUGUGACUAUACCAAAAUUAGUCGCAAAAAUGGAUUUGCGACGAGGUCUUUAGUGACUAACCAAAGUAGUUGCAAAUCCUUCGCAAAUCCAUUUUUGCGACUAAUUUGACCGUCGCAAAUUCCCCUUUUUCUUGUAGUGGUCUAUUAUAAAAAAAAAAAAAA